RNAcentral lists this ribosomal RNA (474 nucleotides) under uncultured bacterium. Its description in RNAcentral is "bacterial SSU rRNA". It matches the Rfam family "Bacterial small subunit ribosomal RNA", at positions 29 to 524 of the family's 1533-position model. The record is from RNAcentral.
AACGAACGCUGGCGGCAUGCCUAACACAUGCAAGUCGAACGAGACCUUCGGGUCUAGUGGCGCACGGGUGCGUAACGCGUGGGAAUCUGCCCUUGGGUUCGGAAUAACAGUUAGAAAUGACUGCUAAUACCGGAUAAUGUCUUCGGACCAAAGAUUUAUCGCCCAGGGAUGAGCCCGCGUAGGAUUAGCUAGUUGGUGAGGUAAAGGCUCACCAAGGCGACGAUCAGUAGCUGGUUUGAGAGAACGACCAGCCACACUGGAACUGAGACACGGUCCAGACUCCUACGGGAGGCAGCAGUGGGGAAUUUUGGACAAUGGGGGGCAACCCUGAUCCAGCAAUGCCGCGUGAGUGAAGAAGGCCUCGGUUGUAAGCUCUUUGUUCAGGGAAGAAACGGUAGAGUUCUAAUACAGCUUGCUAAUGACGGUACCUGAAGAAUAAGCACCGGCUAACUACGUGCCAGCAGCCGCGGUAAU